RNAcentral lists this unclassified non-coding RNA (322 nucleotides) under Hevea brasiliensis (rubber tree). The record is from RNAcentral. Lineage: Eukaryota; Viridiplantae; Streptophyta; Magnoliopsida; Malpighiales; Euphorbiaceae.
ACUGUUCCAGUUAUGAACAAUACAUGCGUAAAGACAUAAAGCUUGUCUAGCAGUCAGGGCUGCAUGUCCAAUCCAAAACGACAGGUUCAAUCCACCAAGCCGAGUAGUAAUAUCAUGCACCAACACUAACAAAUACUUAAAGAGGGGGCAAAGAGAAUCCAAAACACAUAUUGACGAGUCCUGUGAUGUGAGGAUCAUGCCUCUUUACAGUCAUCCUUUUCCUCUUCCUCUUCCUCAUUAUUCUCCUGUAUAGUCCUCCCUCUCUUUCUCAAGUAUAGAGCGGAAGGUUGUUAAGAACCAAAUAAGGAGAUGAUAGAGCUGC